Molecule: ribosomal RNA, 267 nt
Filed under: uncultured bacterium
Lineage: Bacteria
Description: partial 16S ribosomal RNA
Rfam family: Bacterial small subunit ribosomal RNA
Source: RNAcentral
UACGAAGGGGGCUAGCGUUGCUCGGAAUUACUGGGCGUAAAGGGCGCGUAGGCGGCACUGUUAGUCAGGCGUGAAAGUCCUGGGCUCAACCUGGGACUGCGCUUGAUACGGCAGAGCUAGAGGAUGGAAGAGGCUCGCGGAAUUCCCAGUGUAGAGGUGAAAUUCGUAGAUAUUGGGAAGAACACCGGUGGCGAAGGCGGCGAGCUGGUCCAUUACUGACGCUGAGGCGCGACAGCGUGGGGAGCAAACAGGAUUAGAGUACCCUUG